AAAAUAUAUUUCAGAUAAUAAUGAGUGCUUCAUGCGGUAUAUGUUUGCAGGGUGACAUUACUUCACACUUCUUCAGCUUGGGCUGUACUAGAUGUACAAUGGCAUUAGUCUCACUCGCCAUGAGAGAAACAUGGUCUCGGGACUAAGGACAUUAUUCACAGAUCAAAGGCAUUAAUAUGUCUACAUUUACUGUUGGGCCAAACUACCUCUAGUGAGAAGACAGUGCAAGAAAGAUGAAGCAUUAUAGACAGUACAAAGAGUCGACCAGUAAGCAGCAAGUGGCACUCAAACAUCACAGUGGCACGCAAACAGGUCCUUGACAUGCUUCUAAGAGCUUAGCAGUGAGCGGCAGUGUGUCACUGUCGCACCCAAAUAGGAUAAUUUGAUAAUGGCAAGUUGCACAUCUAUCCAUGUGGUCCUAAAAAAUUAGUCGCUCACAGUUACUGCAAUAUGGUAAGCCUAUACUUUGCAUAGAUUUGGAAUGCCAAAGCAGAUACCAAGACAAAGUUCUUGUUGCCUCUCAUGCUUAUGCUCAUAUAUCACGGGUGGUAUGACCAUGCUUGUAUAUAUAUGGUCUUGGUAUAUUGGAGUUUUCCUAAGCUUGGUCCUGGUACAGUACAAACUGUCUCAAGUCUCAAAAUGAAUUUGUAAUUUUGUACCAACUCAUGGGUGUGGUAGCUACACAUAUAUAGGGUGGCUAGUAGCAGAGUUGAUAUGGCAUAUUGGGAGUUAGAUAGGUAAGGCUGUUUAAUGAUUUAAUUCACAAGCUUCUGUACCAUAAAUUUUGUACAGAACAACAAAUAAACACUGUAUUAAUUCACAAAGCUUUAUUUUCAUUAAUUCAUAAGGUAGGUAUAUAUGACCGCCCAAUCAACAAGUACUAAUUCACAAGCUUUAUUUUUCAUAUAUUAGCCUUUUUUAAAAACUGGUUGUUACUCAUGUGUACUACUGUGUCCCCAUCUAAAAUGUUUUUCUAAUGUUCGAUGACCACUUUAUAUUGCUAGGUACAGACCACAUGAUGACUUUAACGUCCUUAUAAAGACCAUGGUCCUUUUCUUGUUUUCUUGGUGCUCUUUGUGUGAUACGUAAUUGGAGAUUCAGGACUGAUCAGGUCAAUAUAUAGGUGGCCUGCUCUAAUGUUUUUGGCUGUAGCGAUUUGACACUGAAUGCAUGCAGUUGCAUACACACGCAAUGAAUCUUCUAUUGAUCAACAGAGGUGUAGUAUGCAAUAAUGUAGUCUCUAGGAGAAGGACGCAAACAAAUAUAUCAGAGCUAUCUAAAAUGUGGAUUUUUGUUGCCAUCCAAAGCGAAUUGAGUGGUGCACCUAGAAGCAUAUGGUGUAAUGGUGACGUCAGGCAAGACAUGUUGCCAGGCAUGGAACACUGAGUCUUGCUCUCACAACAAAGACUAAUCAUAUAGGGAUUCUGAUUUUUUUUUUCACGGGAAGGUUAAUUAUAUAAAUAAAUUACACGUAGAAAAAACUAAAUUAAAAAGAUAUUCUAUCAAGAUUCUUCAUUUGUCUUCUUUUCUAGUGACUUUCCUUGACGUAUCCAACGAUCAACCCCAGUACAUUGGGCAUGCUGCAAGAUCAAAUGUUCUGGUACCAGUCAAAAAUGCAUCUCAAUUGAUGAAAGAACAUCGGCAGCUGCAUUGCAAGGUACAACCUAAGCUGCAGAUUCAUCAAUCCAACCCUUUAUUCAUCAUGUUGAAUGCCUGAUUUUCUCUAUGUGGCCAUCAAUGAUGAAAUCAAUGACCUGGAGUCAUUGUUCUUGUGAUAAAUGCCUAGAAGCACCCCUCCCCUUUAGAUAAUAGCCACAAAUUAUAUAGCCUCUUGCUG
This 1837-nucleotide long non-coding RNA is filed under the name Sorghum bicolor (sorghum). Its description in RNAcentral is "long non-coding RNA (SBIC_LNC009687)". Lineage: Eukaryota; Viridiplantae; Streptophyta; Magnoliopsida; Poales; Poaceae. The record is from RNAcentral.